UGUGAUAUACAGCAACAGAGCCUGAGGU
This 28-nucleotide non-coding RNA is filed under the name Homo sapiens (human). The record is from RNAcentral. Lineage: Eukaryota; Metazoa; Chordata; Mammalia; Primates; Hominidae.